Molecule: long non-coding RNA, 452 nt
Filed under: Manacus vitellinus (golden-collared manakin)
Lineage: Eukaryota; Metazoa; Chordata; Aves; Passeriformes; Pipridae
Description: lncRNA (ENSMVIG00005002743.1)
Source: RNAcentral
ACAUAUGGCUAUCCAUGGAUUACAUGGUUCAGGCCGUAACUUGGUAAACAGUGUUAUUUUUUUUUUUGUGAUUAUAUUUUAGAAUACUGGACAUAUUAAGCUACCGGAGUGAAGCUGUAAUAUGGUCUCACAGCUUUAUAAUACAGGCCUUAUUCUUCCAUGAAACAACUUUGCAGUUCAAUUUGUUCUGCGUAUGGUCUGCAAACUGAAGACACCGGAGGAUUUUUUUUUUCUCAGUAUAACUGGGAAAAAAAAGUCUAAAGUCAUUAAUGGAAUCCUGUGAAACAGGACUACACCCUCUCUGCAGCUGCUGUAUCUGCAGAGGAGCUGAAGGAUGGUCGCAGUGCAGCACCACACCACAAGAUGGCAAGAACCAGAAGCUGACCUCAAACCAGAAUUCAGAUAGAACAAUGAAAUUACAUUAAAACUUGAGAUUCCAAACUACCAAACAU